GACGAACGCUGGCGGCGUGCUUAACACAUGCAAGUCGAGCGGUAAGGCCUUUCGGGGUACACGAGCGGCGAACGGGUGAGUAACACGUGGGUGAUCUGCCCUGCACUUCGGGAUAAGCCUGGGAAACUGGGUCUAAUACCGGAUAUGACCUCCUAUCGCAUGGUGGGUGGUGGAAAGAUUUAUCGGUGCAGGAUGGGCCCGCGGCCUAUCAGCUUGUCGGUGGGGUAAUGGCCUACCAAGGCGACGACGGGUAGCCGACCUGAGAGGGUGACCGGCCACACUGGGACUGAGACACGGCCCAGACUCCUACGGGAGGCAGCAGUGGGGAAUAUUGCACAAUGGGCGAAAGCCUGAUGCAGCGACGCCGCGUGAGGGAUGACGGCCUUCGGGUUGUAAACCUCUUUCAGCAGGGACGAAGCGCAAGUGACGGUACCUGCAGAAGAAGCACCGGCUAACUACGUG
Molecule: ribosomal RNA, 462 nt
Filed under: uncultured bacterium
Lineage: Bacteria
Description: partial 16S ribosomal RNA
Rfam family: Bacterial small subunit ribosomal RNA
Source: RNAcentral